UCCUGGCUCAGGAUGAACGCUGGCGGCGUGCCUAAUACAUGCAAGUCGAGCGAACGGACGAGAAGCUUGCUUCUCUGAUGUUAGCGGCGGACGGGUGAGUAACACGUGGAUAACCUACCUAUAAGACUGGGAUAACUUCGGGAAACCGGAGCUAAUACCGGAUAAUAUUUUGAACCGCAUGGUUCAAAAGUGAAAGACGGUCUUGCUGUCACUUAUAGAUGGAUCCGCGCUGCAUUAGCUAGUUGGUAAGGUAACGGCUUACCAAGGCAACGAUGCAUAGCCGACCUGAGAGGGUGA
RNAcentral lists this ribosomal RNA (297 nucleotides) under Staphylococcus aureus. Its description in RNAcentral is "partial 16S ribosomal RNA". It matches the Rfam family "Bacterial small subunit ribosomal RNA", at positions 17 to 303 of the family's 1533-position model. The record is from RNAcentral. Lineage: Bacteria; Bacillati; Bacillota; Bacilli; Caryophanales; Staphylococcaceae.